CAUUCCGGUCGUGCUUACCAUGCAAGUCGAACGGUGAAGCAGAGCUUGCUCUGUGGAUCAGUGGCGAACGGGUGAGUAACACGUGAGCAAUCUGCCCCUGACUCUGGGAUAAGCGCUGGAAACGGCGUCUAAUACCGGAUACGAGCUGCGACCGCAUGGUCAGUAGCUGGAAAGAAUUUCGGUCAGGGAUGAGCUCGCGGCCUAUCAGCUUGUUGGUGAGGUAAUGGCUCACCAAGGCGUCGACGGGUAGCCGGCCUGAGAGGGUGACCGGCCACACUGGGACUGAGACACGGCCCAGACUCCUACGGGAGGCAGCAGUGGGGAAUAUUGCACAAUGGGCGCAAGCCUGAUGCAGCAACGCCGCGUGAGGGAUGACGGCCUUCGGGUUGUAAACCUCUUUUAGCAGGGAAGAAGCGAAAGUGACGGUACCUGCAGAAAAAGCGCCGGCUAACUACGUGCCAGCAGCCGCGGUAAUACGUAGGGCGCAAGCGUUAUCCGGAAUUAUUGGGCGUAAAGAGCUCGUAGGCGGUCUGUCGCGUCUGCUGUGAAAACCCGAGGCUCAACCUCGGGCCUGCAGUGGGUACGGGCAGACUAGAGUGCGGUAGGGGAGAUUGGAAUUCCUGGUGUAGCGGUGGAAUGCGCAGAUAUCAGGAGGAACACCGAUGGCGAAGGCAGAUCUCUGGGCCGUAACUGACGCUGAGGAGCGAAAGGGUGGGGAGCAAACAGGCUUAGAUACCCUGGUAGUCCACCCCGUAAACGUUGGGAACUAGUUGUGGGGUCCAUUCCACGGAUUCCGUGACGCAGCUAACGCAUUAAGUUCCCCGCCUGGGGAGUACGGCCGCAAGGCUAAAACUCAAAGGAAUUGACGGGGACCCGCACAAGCGGCGGAGCAUGCGGAUUAAUUCGAUGCAACGCGAAGAACCUUACCAAGGCUUGACAUAUAGAGGAAACGUCUGGAAACAGUCGCCCCGCAAGGUCUCUAUACAGGUGGUGCAUGGUUGUCGUCAGCUCGUGUCGUGAGAUGUUGGGUUAAGUCCCGCAACGAGCGCAACCCUCGUUCUAUGUUGCCAGCACGUAAUGGUGGGAACUCAUGGGAUACUGCCGGGGUCAACUCGGAGGAAGGUGGGGAUGACGUCAAAUCAUCAUGCCCCUUAUGUCUUGGGCUUCACGCAUGCUACAAUGGCCGGUACAAAGGGCUGCAAUACCGUGAGGUGGAGCGAAUCCCAAAAAGCCGGUCCCAGUUCGGAUUGAGGUCUGCAACUCGACCUCAUGAAGUCGGAGUCGCUAGUAAUCGCAGAUCAGCAACGCUGCGGUGAAUACGUUCCCGGGUCUUGUACACACCGCCCGUCAAGUCAUGAAAGUCGGUAACACCUGAAGCCGGUGGCCCAACCCUUGUGGAGGGAGCCGUCGAAGGUGGGAUCGGUAAUUAGGACUAAGUCGAACAAGAGCGCCCGGG
RNAcentral lists this ribosomal RNA (1456 nucleotides) under Cellulosimicrobium cellulans. RNAcentral's name for it is "bacterial SSU rRNA". It matches the Rfam family "Bacterial small subunit ribosomal RNA". The record is from RNAcentral. Lineage: Bacteria; Bacillati; Actinomycetota; Actinomycetes; Micrococcales; Promicromonosporaceae.